CGCAAGCCUGACGGAGCAACGCCGCGUGAGGGAGGAAGGCCUGUGGGUUGUAAACCUCUUUUCUCAAGGAAGAAGUUCUGACGGUACUUGAGGAAUCAGCAUCGGCUAACUCCGUGCCAGCAGCCGCGGUAAGACGGAGGAUGCAAGCGUUAUCCGGAAUUAUUGGGCGUAAAGCGUCCGUAGGUGGUUACAAAAGUCUGUUGUUAAAGCUCACAGCUCAACUGUGAAUCGGCAAUGGAAACUAUGUGACUUGAGUGUGGUAGGGGUAGAGGGAAUUCCUAGUGUAGCGGUGAAAUGCGUAGAUAUUAGGAAGAACACCAGUGGCGAAGGCGCUCUACUGGGCCAUAACUGACACUGAUGGACGAAAGCUAGGGGAGCG
RNAcentral lists this ribosomal RNA (379 nucleotides) under uncultured cyanobacterium. Its description in RNAcentral is "bacterial SSU rRNA". It matches the Rfam family "Bacterial small subunit ribosomal RNA", at positions 376 to 770 of the family's 1533-position model. Lineage: Bacteria; Bacillati; Cyanobacteriota. The record is from RNAcentral.